GGUUUUAUAGUCAAGUAUGAUUUUAAAUUGCAAAUUUAAAGGUAGAUUUUAAUCUUUUAACUU
RNAcentral lists this transfer RNA (63 nucleotides) under Cryptolestes turcicus. Its description in RNAcentral is "tRNA-Cys". The record is from RNAcentral. Lineage: Eukaryota; Metazoa; Arthropoda; Insecta; Coleoptera; Laemophloeidae.